This 492-nucleotide ribosomal RNA is filed under the name uncultured bacterium. RNAcentral describes it as "partial 16S ribosomal RNA". It matches the Rfam family "Bacterial small subunit ribosomal RNA", at positions 29 to 507 of the family's 1533-position model. The record is from RNAcentral.
AGUGAACGCUGGCGGUAGGCCUAACACAUGCCAGUCGAACGGCAGCACAGUAAGAGCUUGCUCUUACGGGUGGCGAGUGGCGGACGGGUGAGGAAUACAUCGGAAUCUACUUUUUCGUGGGGGAUAACGUAGGGAAACUUACGCUAAUACCGCAUACGACCUACGGGUGAAAGCAGGGGAUCUUCGGACCUUGCGCGAUUGAAUGAGCCGAUGUCGGAUUAGCUAGUUGGCGGGGUAAAGGCCCACCAAGGCGCCGAUCCGUAGCUGGUCUGAGAGGAUGAUCAGCCACACUGGAACUGAGACACGGUCCAGACCCCUACGGGAGGCAGCAGUGGGGAAUAUUGGACAAUGGGCGCAAGCCUGAUCCAGCCAUACCGCGUGGGUGAAGAAGGCCUUCGGGUUGUAAAGCCCUUUUGUUGGGAAAGAAAAGCAGCAGGUUAAUACCCCGCUGUUCUGACGGUACCCAAAGAAUAAGCACCGGCUAACUUCGUG